GGUUUAGGGAUGUCAAUGGUAUAGAUACCCGAAAUUUUAUCCGAACCCGGACCCGAAUCCGAAUGAAACGGAUAUAUCCGAUGGAUAUGGAUAUGGAUAUAAAAAAUAGAAGCCCAACGGAUAUAGAUUCGUAUAUGAAUUUUGAUUGUACCCGACCUGAACCCGAACCCGACCCGAGCCCGACCCGAAUCCGAAUUUAUUUUGUAUUAUAUAUAAUAUAUAUAUAUAUAUAUAUAUAUAUAUAAAAAUUUGAUGUUAUAUUUAAAUUUGUAUUUUAAAAUUUUAUAUUUAAUAUAAUAUAUUUUGAAAUAUUGAAAAAAAAUAAUUGUUUCGGGUUCAAAUUUUCCGGUUCGGGUUCGGAUUCGGGUUUCGAAUUUUUGGUCGGGUUCGGAUUUGGAUAUGGAUUUUAAAAUCCGUCGGGUUCGGGUUUGGGUUUGGAUCUCGAGUUUGGAGUCGGGUUCGGGUUCGGGUUCGGGUUUUUAAAAAUCUGCCCCGAAUCCGACCCGUUGACAUCUCUAGGCAGGUCGAAGCUGCGAACCUCAGAUCGGGGGAUAAAAGGCGAACCCACUAUCUGCCGGGCUGUGGAUGGUGCGGAGAAGGAUCACCCGACGCCCGCUUGCCGUUUACAGGUAGAUCGGGCGGCCCGAAUCUCGGAUCGGGGGGAAAAGGCGGACCCAUGACCCGCCGAGCUGCGGAUAGUGCGGAGAAGGGGGGACCUACACCCGCUUACACGACUACCAGGCAUUCUUGGACCGGAUAAGCCCACUCACGACCCACAUUCCCAUCGAAAUCGGCCCACAAUCCUCUUUUACUAUUUUUGUUACUUUUUACAGCUUAAUCCACUGCUUUUUCUACCAUUUACUUUCUAAUACAAUGUAAAAAAGUAUAUAAAAAAUAGAUGUAGCUAACAUGAGGAAUCAAUGAAAUGAAUUAGCAUUUUCUUCUCCCCAAACUUCCUCUUCUCCUCUAAACCCUUCUUCUCCCAAUUCUCCUCUAUCUCUAAUCCCCACUUCUAAUCUCUAUCCCAACUUUUUAUCCCCCUCUCUCUCUCUCUCUGCACUGAUAAUCUCACAAAUUCCCAUCUCUAUUUUUCUAAUUCCCACCUAUCUCUACUCCUACCCCCACACCUCUUCUCCUUACCUUAUCAACAAAUAUCCCGGAUCCGUAUCGGGGGCACUACAAAAAACAAACAAACUACAAAAGUUGCAGUACAAGAUUAAAAGGAAUGACAAAAAGUAAGGAUAAGUUACGCUAUUUUCAGAAGACUGAUGAAUACAUUUAUUUAUUUAUUUAUUUAUAAUUUAUUUAUUUAUUUAUAAUUUAUUUACUUAUUUAUAGUCUUUUUGCAUAAAAAAUUCACUAGUUUUGGGCUUUUGCAAAACUAGAUCGCUUCUUUCGAUUUUGCAGAUUUGGUCCGAAUUUUUAGUAAGUUUCAAAUACUCUAGAUCAUAUUUAAUAGUAUAGAUCGUUGAUUCGGAAGUUCUAUUAUUGAAAACAACUUAUGAGGACAAAGAGUUCUAUGCUGAUAAAGUAUAGUUGUAAUGACCCGAUCCGCUAGCAACAAUAACUCGUUGGGCCCAAACCAUCGGCCCAAAAUGCUUAAGCACGGUUAUUAUUAGUAGCGUGUAGGCCUCAUAUAAACUGAUCGGAAUCAGAUCCCAUCCGAUGUGGGACUAUUGGGGGCGUUACAAGCUCCCCUUGUUUAGACCCUGACGUCCUCGUCGGGUCCAAACCAGAUCACAGACAGACAGACCAGAGGCGAUGUGAGAUUCUAGAGGUGGCUCCUACAGGUCUCGUUUAUGACGCUGUUAGCAUAUACAUCAUUUAAGUUCUAUGUCAAAAGAUAAGAACAUAAAGGGAAUUCAC
Molecule: long non-coding RNA, 1866 nt
Filed under: Ananas comosus (pineapple)
Lineage: Eukaryota; Viridiplantae; Streptophyta; Magnoliopsida; Poales; Bromeliaceae
Description: long non-coding RNA (ACOM_LNC028112)
Source: RNAcentral